This is a non-coding RNA of Phasianus colchicus (ring-necked pheasant), 797 nucleotides long. The record is from RefSeq and is a predicted model, not a curated record. NCBI's taxonomy places the organism in Eukaryota, Metazoa, Chordata, Aves, Galliformes, Phasianidae.
GCUGAGAGGGGACAGGGUGGUGAACACAGCAUCACUUGCAUUCCUGGGCAGUGGCAGGUUGCAGAUGGUGCCUUCGCAGCAGGAUGUGCAGAUCUGAAAGACAGCAGGACUGAACUCGGUUACCUGGCAAAUAUCACUGCCACCGAGCAAAGAUGGAGGGCAAAUAAUACAGCAUUUGGAGAUCAGCAUUGUGGCUACGGUUUUUUUUUUUUUUAAGUAGGGGGUUGGACUCUAUGAGCUCUAGAGGUCCCUUCCAACCCCUACAAUUCUGUGAUCUCAACCCCUUCCAGUUGUGCAGUAAUAAUGCAUCACCUAUUGCAAGGAGAACAUCCAUCCUGAAGGGCUGCUUUUCUCCUCCCCAAAAGAGUCAGCUGAUGGAUCAAGUUCCUUUGGAAUUGUUGCUGGAUGGACUACAAGUUGCAUACCCAAACCCUCCGCUGCCGUGGCUCUGGGGCUCUCUGCACAUCUCAGGAAGGAACCAGGGAUGUUCGGUGGGCACCAGCUGCCAUGCUGCGGGCACAGCCCUGCCUGGUUUCACACAAAGAAGCAACCCUGGUCCUCACCUUGUACUCCUCGUGCUUUACAUAUGUGCAUCCAGUAGACAGACAGUCCUCCAGGGGCACGCAGCGCUUGGUGACGGACACGCUCUCUCCAGUAACUCUCAUCAUGUGUUGGCUGAAGCAGUACCUCGUGCCUAGAAGGAAAGGAAAAUGUGUUCAUUUGACAAAGCCAAAGCUUGUGGUGGUGUACAAGCAAGAAGAAACAAGGGAGAAACCUUGCACUUCAAAAAAAAAAAA